Long non-coding RNA from Daphnia pulicaria, 334 nucleotides. RefSeq lists it as uncharacterized. Lineage: Eukaryota; Metazoa; Arthropoda; Branchiopoda; Diplostraca; Daphniidae. The record is from RefSeq and is a predicted model, not a curated record. The transcript is spliced from 4 exons.
UUGAAGCCCACAUAGAUUGGAAUACAAAUGUGCCGAGAUAAGGUAUUCUUGCUCAUGAACCAUAGGAUCUUUUCUGAAUCUCGGAAUUUUGGUGGCGCACCCUGCAGCAGCAUGAUUGUUGUUAUGGCUGUUUUCGCUUUGGUUUAGAAGGAAACCCAGCUAAGAAAUAGAGUUUCAGAGACAUAUGAAGAGUGUGAAGUGAAUAACCUGCCAUGUGUAUGUACAUGUAUCAGAUCUGCUUGAUGAAAGUCAAAUGCCUUACUAAAUUCAUCACCCAUAUGAUAAGCAUCAGGAAAUUUCUCUCAACAUAUGGAGUAAUGCUGUUGGUUGCUAU